UGAAGUUUGGCAGUUCAAUAUUAAAUGUAAAUUUCUUACAUUCAUAUAGAAAAUAUAAGCAAUCCUUGACUUGUGUAAAUGGUCAUUCAGUGAAAUCUUGCAUAAGUUAAAAUAUACAUAUGUUGAAGCAUACCCUUUACAUGGGUUGGAAAUUUAAUAAUGAUCAUAGCAGUGCUGGAAGGGAAUGCUGACAUCUACAAUUCUGAUUAUAUUGGCAAAUACAAAGUUGAACCUUCCUCUCACAUCACUGUAAAGGAUAUUGCCUUUUACAUGCUACAUGCUUACAUUAAUGUCACAGUUUAUGCAGAAAAGAAGAUGGCUCUGUGGAGGAGCAUUCUUGGCUUAAAACUGAAACUUCAAGGGGCUGUAUCACAAAGGAAUGCUGUCAGGAACAUGUAGAGGCCUAUAGUACUGAUUCAUUACUAUACAGUAC
RNAcentral lists this long non-coding RNA (433 nucleotides) under Androctonus crassicauda. Lineage: Eukaryota; Metazoa; Arthropoda; Arachnida; Scorpiones; Buthidae. The record is from RNAcentral.